UACCAGCACCCCGAGUGGUCGGGACGAUUAUUGGGCCUAAAGCAUCCGUAGCCGGUCCUGCAAGUCUUCCGUUAAAUCCAGCUGCUCAACAGAUGGGCUGCGGGGGAUACUACAGGGCUAGGAGGCGGGAGAGGCAAGCGGUACUUUAUGGGUAGGGGUAAAAUCCGUUGAUCCAUAGAAGACCACCAGUGGCGAAGGCGGCUUGCCAGAACGCGCUCGACGGUGAGGGAUGAAAGCUGGGGGAGCAAACAGG
RNAcentral lists this ribosomal RNA (253 nucleotides) under uncultured bacterium. Its description in RNAcentral is "partial 16S ribosomal RNA". It matches the Rfam family "Archaeal small subunit ribosomal RNA", at positions 474 to 727 of the family's 1478-position model. The record is from RNAcentral.